GGAAUAUUGGUCAAUGGACGCAAGUCUGAACCAGCCAUGCCGCGUGAAGGAUGAAGGUCCUCUGGAUUGUAAACUUCUUUUAUCUGGGACGAAAAAAGGGCUUUCUAGCUCGACUGACGGUACCAGAGGAAUAAGCACCGGCUAACUCCGUGCCAGCAGCCGCGGUAAUACGGAGGGUGCAAGCGUUAUCCGGAUUCACUGGGUUUAAAGGGAGCGUAGGCGGGCAGGUAAGUCAGUGGUGAAAUCUCCGGGCUUAACCCGGAAACUGCCAUUGAUACUAUCUGUCUUGAAUAUCCUGGAGGUAAGCGGAAUAUGUCAUGUAGCGGUGAAAUGCUUAGAUAUGACAUAGAACACCCAUUGCGAAGGCAGCUUACUACGGGAUGAUUGACGCUGAGGCUCGAAAGCGUGGGGAUCAAACA
This 419-nucleotide ribosomal RNA is filed under the name uncultured bacterium. RNAcentral describes it as "bacterial SSU rRNA". It matches the Rfam family "Bacterial small subunit ribosomal RNA", at positions 358 to 774 of the family's 1533-position model. The record is from RNAcentral.